Molecule: ribosomal RNA, 405 nt
Filed under: bacterium enrichment culture clone ALO1_GLFRUDD03HDPW9
Lineage: Bacteria
Description: bacterial SSU rRNA
Rfam family: Bacterial small subunit ribosomal RNA
Source: RNAcentral
GAGUUUGAUCCUGGCUCAGAUUGAACGCUGGCGGCAUGCCUUACACAUGCAAGUCGAACGGCAGCACGGGAGCUUGCUCCUGGUGGCGAGUGGCGAACGGGUGAGUAAUGCAUCGGAACGUAUCCUGGAGUGGGGGAUAACGUAGCGAAAGUUACGCUAAUACCGCAUAUUCUGUGAGCAGGAAAGCGGGGGACCUUCGGGCCUCGCGCUCUUGGAGCGGCCGAUGUCGGAUUAGCUAGUUGGUGAGGUAAAGGCUCACCAAGGCGACGAUCCGUAGCAGGUCUGAGAGGAUGAUCUGCCACACUGGAACUGAGACACGGUCCAGACUCCUACGGGAGGCAGCAGUGGGAUUUGGACAAGUGGGGCAACCCUGAUCCAGCCAUGCCGCGUGAGUGAAGAAGGCCU